UUCCGGUUGAUCCUGCCGGAGGUCAACUUCUAUUGGGAUUCGACUAAGGCCAUGCGAGUCGAGAGGGUUCGGCCCUCGGCUGACGGCUCAGUAACACGUGGAUAAUCUGCCCUUAGGUGGAGGAUAAUCUCGGGAAACUGAGGAUAAUACUCCAUAGAUCUAGGAUGCUGGAAUGCAUUUAGAUUGAAAGCUCCGGCGCCUAAGGAUGAGUCUGCGGACUAUCAGGUUGUAGUCAGGAUAAAGACCUGACUAGCCUAUGACGGAUACGGGUUGUGAGAGCAAUAACCCGGAGACGAUAUCUGAGACACGAUAUCGGGCCCUACGGGGCGCAGCAGGCGCGAAAACUUCACACUGUGCGAAAGCGCGAUGAGGGAAUCCCAAGUGCUUACUCGUAAGAGUAAGCUGUUUCUUUGUCUAAAAAGCAGAGAGAGUAAGGGCUGGGUAAGACGGGUGCCAGCCGCCGCGGUAAUACCUGCAGCUCAAGUGGUGAUCAUUAUUAUUGGGCCUAAAACGUCCGUAGCCGGUUUAGUAAAUGCCUGGGUAAAUCGUGUAGCUUAACUAUACGAAUUCCGGGUAGACUGCUAAACUUGAGACCGGGAGAGGCUAGAGGUACUCCUGGGGUAGAGGUGAAAUUCUGUAAUCCUAGGGGGACCACCAGUGGCGAAGGCGUCUAGCUAGAACGGGUCUGACGGUGAGGGACGAAGCCCUGGGGCGCAAACCGGAUUAGAUACCCGGGUAGUCCAGGGUGUAAACGCUGCUUGCUUGAUGUUAGUUGGGCUCCGAGCCCAACUAGUGUCGGAGAGAAGUUGUUAAGCAAGCUGCCUGGGAAGUACGGUCGCAAGGCUGAAACUUAAAGGAAUUGGCGGGGGAGCACAGCAACGGGUGGAGCGUGCGGUUUAAUUGGAUUCAACGCCGGG
Molecule: ribosomal RNA, 917 nt
Filed under: uncultured archaeon
Lineage: Archaea
Description: bacterial SSU rRNA
Rfam family: Archaeal small subunit ribosomal RNA
Source: RNAcentral